CAUACAAGGCAUACGGCUCAGUAACGCGUAGUCAACCUAACCUAUGGACGGGAAUAACCUCGGGAAACUGAGAAUAAUGCCCGAUAGAACAUUAUGCCUGGAAUGGUUUAUGUUCCAAAUGAUUUAUCGCCGUAGGAUGGGACUGCGGCCUAUCAGUUUGUUGGUGAGGUAAUGGCCCACCAAGACUAUUACAGGUACGGGCUCUGAGAGGAGUAGCCCGGAGAUGGGUACUGAGACACGGACCCAGGCCCUAUGGGGCGCAGCAGGCGAGAAAACUUUGCAAUGUGCGAAAGCACGACAAGGUUAAUCCGAGUGGUUUCUGCUAAAGAAACCUUUUGUCAGUCCUAGAAACACUGAUGAAUAAGGGGUGGGCAAGUUCUGGUGUCAGCCGCCGCGGUAAAACCAGCACCUCAAGUGGUCAGGAUGAUUAUUGGGCCUAAAGCAUCCGUAGCCGGCUCUGUAAGUUUUCGGUUAAAUCUGUACGCUCAACGAACAGGCUGCCGGGAAUACUGCAGAGCUAGGGAGUGGGAGAGGUAGACGGUACUCGGUAGGAAGGGGUAAAAUCCUUUGAUCUAUUGAUGACCACCUGUGGCGAAGGCGGUCUACCAGAACACGUCCGACGGUGAGGGAUGAAAGCUGGGGGAGCAAACCGGAUUAGAUACCCGGGUAGUCCCAGCUGUAAACUAUGCAAACUCAGUGAUGCAUUGGCUUGUGGCCAAUGCAGUGCUGCAGGGAAGCCGUUAAGUUUGCCGCCUGGGAAGUACGUACGCAAGUAUGAAACUUAAAGGAAUUGGCGGGGGAGCACCACAAGGGGUGAAGCCUGCGGUUCAAUUGGAGUCAACGCCGGA
Molecule: ribosomal RNA, 848 nt
Filed under: uncultured crenarchaeote
Lineage: Archaea; Thermoproteati; Thermoproteota
Description: bacterial SSU rRNA
Rfam family: Archaeal small subunit ribosomal RNA
Source: RNAcentral